CCCGGCAGCACUCUUCGGAGAGCAGGACGGAUGUAACUGAGUAAACAUUUUAUGGCUGUAGAAAUCAUUUCAGAAGUCCAGUGUGUGUACAGUCAUGUGAGAAAUGUGUACAGUUUUACCUCCAGGUCUCGGAGUCUCUCUAAAAGCUCUUUAUUGCUCGCCGUGUCGUCCUCCUCCUCUUCAUCCUCCUCCUCAUCUUCCUCCAAAAGCACGUCAGCGUCACCCUAUUUCCUGGCUGUAGUAUAUCAACACUACAACCCUGACCAGGAGUAAAGGCCUUGAGGUGGAACAGAUUCAUUAAAGACCAUUAGGAGAUCCAUUAAAGACCAGUAGGAGAUCCAUUAAAGACCAUUAGGAGAACCAGUGGCCUUCAGUGAUGUUUCUGCUGUUAAAAAUAGAGCUCUGGAGUCAUUCUUUCGCUCCGUACUCUCCAUUUAACUGCUUUAUUCUGUGACUGGCUUUUUGUCCUUUCUUCUUAGAAUACGGGUCUGUGCUGUAGGCCAUCUGACACAAUAAUAUACGUAAUAAUAUACAUAAUAAUUCAGUAAAGUUGUUGCUUAGACACAUGAGCAGAUGGGUAAAGAGAUGAAUAUCUCAGUUAAUGGUGCAGUCAGUGAUUUUAGCUGAAACUAGAUCUAAAACUCAGGCCUUAUCCACACUAACAUACAAAAGGUUUUACUCUGUUUUUGGCCUUGUAUGUUCCUCGAAGCACCAUUUUUAACCUCUGAAAAUGAAACUUUAAAACGUAAUCUUCGUUAAAUAUAUAAACAAAAAACAAUUUCACUUUAUAUAUCUCUCUGUAUACUGAAGUGCUGCGUCUCUCACACUGUGCUGUUCCCACCAUUGUUUUAUUUUCAACACAGCGUGUAUAUUACUGUUUCAGAUGCAACGUCUCAGUAGAUUAUUUGUUUAGACUGUUAUGUUAACGAAUUUGUGCUGUUUAUUACAGAAAUAACUGUUGGUGUUUUUUCAGUUAGUUUAUAGUUGCUGAUAUUCACUAUUAGUGUGAAAGCAGCAUUUUAACAAGAAGUCAAUUUUAAGGGUGAGUACAUCAGGCACCUUGUACAGUUUAAAAUUUUCACAAAUCUCAUUUUCACCAGUAAAAUCCAGUGCAAAUAAGUGUGUUAAAGUGGCUAUAAUAAUAAUAAUUAGUGUGUUAAAAGUGGCUAUAAUAAUAAUAAUAAUAAUAAUUAUUAUUAU
This is a long non-coding RNA of Ictalurus punctatus (channel catfish), 1200 nucleotides long. RefSeq lists it as uncharacterized. NCBI's taxonomy places the organism in Eukaryota, Metazoa, Chordata, Actinopteri, Siluriformes, Ictaluridae. The record is from RefSeq and is a predicted model, not a curated record. The transcript has 5 exons.